Molecule: transfer RNA, 51 nt
Filed under: Geoscapheus dilatatus
Lineage: Eukaryota; Metazoa; Arthropoda; Insecta; Blattodea; Blaberidae
Description: partial tRNA-Lys
Source: RNAcentral
CAUUAGAUGACUGAAGGCAAGUAAUGGUCUCUUAAACCAAAAAAUAGUAAA